GACGAACGCUGGCGGCGUGCCUAACACAUGCAAGUCGAACGGAAAGGCCCUGCUUUUGUGGGGUGCUCGAGUGGCGAACGGGUGAGUAACACGUGAGUAACCUGUCCUUGACUUUGGGAUAUCUUCAGGAAACUGGGGCUAAUACCGGAUAGGAGCUCCUGCUGCAUGGUGGGGGUUGGAAAGUUUCGGCGGUUGGGGAUGGACUCGCGGCUUAUCAGCUUGAUGGUGGGGUAGUGGCUUACCAAGGCUUUGACGGGUAGCCGGCCUGAGAGGGUGACCGGCCACAUUGGGACUGAGAUACGGCCCAGACUCCUACGGGAGGCAGCGGUGGAGAAUAUUGCACAGUGGGCGGAAGCCUGAUGCGGCAACGCCGCGUGCGGGAUGACGGCCUUCGGGUUGUGAACCGCUGUCGCCUGUGACGAGGCGUGAGUGACGGUAAUGGGUAAAGAAGCACCGGCUAACUACGUG
Molecule: ribosomal RNA, 468 nt
Filed under: uncultured bacterium
Lineage: Bacteria
Description: partial 16S ribosomal RNA
Rfam family: Bacterial small subunit ribosomal RNA
Source: RNAcentral